AAGCUCGUAGUUGGAUUUCGGGAUGGGCCAGUCGGUCUGCCGCAAGGUAUGUUACUGGCUGGUCUGUCCUUCUUCGCAAAGACUGCGUGUGCUCUUAAUUGAGUGUGCGUAGGAUUUGCGACGUUUACUUUGAAAAAAUUAGAGUGUUCAAAGCAGGCUGUCCGCUUGAAUACAUGAGCAUGGAAUAAUGGAAUAGGACUUUGGUUCUAUUUUGUUGGUUUCUGGAACCGAAGUAAUGAUUAAGAGGGACAGUUGGGGGCAUUCGUAUUUCGUUGUCAGAGGUGAAAUUCUUGGAUUUACGAAAGACGAACAACUGCGAAAGCAUUUGCCAAGAAUGUUUUCAUUAAUCAAGAACGAAAGUUAGAGGCUCGAAGACGAUCAGAUACCGUCCUAGUUCUAACCAUAAACGAUGCCGACUAGGGAUCAGCGGGCGUUAUUUUAUGACCCCGUUGGCACCUUAUGGGAAACCAAAGUUUUUGGGUUCCGGGGGAAGUAUGGUUGCAAAGCUGAAACUUAAAGGAAUUGACGGAAG
RNAcentral lists this ribosomal RNA (532 nucleotides) under Chrysaora hysoscella. Its description in RNAcentral is "SSU rRNA". It matches the Rfam family "Eukaryotic small subunit ribosomal RNA", at positions 624 to 1162 of the family's 1831-position model. The record is from RNAcentral. Lineage: Eukaryota; Metazoa; Cnidaria; Scyphozoa; Semaeostomeae; Pelagiidae.